RNAcentral lists this ribosomal RNA (322 nucleotides) under uncultured Acidobacteriota bacterium. Its description in RNAcentral is "bacterial SSU rRNA". It matches the Rfam family "Bacterial small subunit ribosomal RNA", at positions 29 to 351 of the family's 1533-position model. Lineage: Bacteria; Pseudomonadati; Acidobacteriota. The record is from RNAcentral.
AAUGAACGCUGGCGGCGUGCCUAACACAUGCAAGUCGGAUGUGCCGCAAGGUGCAUGGCAGACGGGUGAGUAACGCGUGGGGAACCUACCUCUUUGUGGGGAAUAACGCUCCGAAAGGAGUGGUAAUACCGCAUGAGAUCCAUGACUGGGAUGUUGUGGAUGAAAGCUGGGGAUCGAAAGACCUAGCGCAAGGAGAGGGUCCUGCGUCUGAUUAGCUAGUUGGUGGGGUAACGGCCUACCAAGGCGACGAUCAGUAGCCGGCCUGAGAGGGUGAUCGGCCACACUGGAACUGAGAAACGGUCCAGACACCUACGGGUGGCAG